GACGAACGCUGGCGGCGUGCUUAACACAUGCAAGUCGAACGACGAGCGACGGAAGCUUGCUUCUAUCAAUCUUAGUGGCGAACGGGUGAGUAACGCGUACUCAACCUGCCCUUCAGAGGGGGACAACAGUUGGAAACGACUGCUAAUACCGCAUACGACCUAACCUCGGCAUCGAGGAUAGAUGAAAGGUGGCCCCUCCAUGUAAGCUAUCACUGAAGGAGGGGACUGCGUCUGAUUAGCUAGUUGGAGGGGUAACGGCCAACCAAGGCGAUGAUCAGUAGCCGGACUGAUAGGAUGAACGGCCACAUUGGGACUGAGACACGGCCCAGACUCCUACGGGAGGCGGCAGUGGGGAAGCUGCGCAAUGGACGAAAGGCGGACGGAGCAACGCCGCGUGAGGGAUGACGGACGUCGGGUUGUAAAGCUCUGUUAAUCGGGAGGAAAGGCCUUCUAGCGAAGAGGGGGAAGGAUUGACGGUGCCGGAGUAGAAAGCCACGGCUAACUACGUG
Molecule: ribosomal RNA, 509 nt
Filed under: uncultured bacterium
Lineage: Bacteria
Description: partial 16S ribosomal RNA
Rfam family: Bacterial small subunit ribosomal RNA
Source: RNAcentral